This 300-nucleotide ribosomal RNA is filed under the name uncultured Actinomycetes bacterium. RNAcentral's name for it is "bacterial SSU rRNA". It matches the Rfam family "Bacterial small subunit ribosomal RNA", at positions 287 to 599 of the family's 1533-position model. The record is from RNAcentral. Lineage: Bacteria; Bacillati; Actinomycetota; Actinomycetes.
CCGGCCUGAGAGGGUGUCCGGCCACACUGGGACUGAGAUACGGCCCAGACUCCUACGGGAGGCAGCAGUGGGGAAUAUUGCACAAUGGGCGCAAGCCUGAUGCAGCGACGCCGCGUGGGGGAUGACGGCCUUCGGGUUGUAAACCUCUUUCAGUAGGGACGAAGCGCAAGUGACGGUACCUACAGAAGAAGGACCGGCCAACUACGUGCCAGCAGCCGCGGUAAUACGUAGGGUCCGAGCGUUGUCCGGAAUUACUGGGCGUAAAGAGCUCGUAGGUGGUUUGUCGCGUUGUUCGUGAAA